CAACCCUCAGAACUCCUUGUACUUUUUGUACGGGGGUGUGCUGGUGUUGGGGCUUCUGCGGCUGCCGCAGGCCCUGAAUAACAGUGGCGGGCUCCGCUAUACUCCGAGCGUAGUAAUACUUCUCGCUCAGGGUGUGUAGCGGAGAUCUAGCCUUGUCUUCUUACUUAAAUGG
Molecule: unclassified non-coding RNA, 172 nt
Filed under: uncultured Sordariales
Lineage: Eukaryota; Fungi; Ascomycota; Sordariomycetes; Sordariales
Description: sequence contains ITS2
Source: RNAcentral